GCCAGACUCCUACGGGAGGCAGCAGUGAGGAAUAUUGGUCAAUGGCCGGAAGGCUGAACCAGCCAAGCCGCGUGAGGGAGGAAGGCGCAGAGCGUCGCAGACCUCUUUUGCCGGGGGACAAAAGGCCGGACUCGUCCGGUCCUGAGGGUACCCGGAGAAAAAGCAUCGGCUAACUCCGUGCCAGCAGCCGCGGUAAUACGGAGGAUGCGAGCGUUAUCCGGAUUUAUUGGGUUUAAAGGGUGCGUAGGCGGGCUGUGAAGUCAGCGGUAAAAGCCGGGGGCUCAACCCCGGCGAGCCGUUGAAACUGGCUGUCUUGAGAUGUCGAGAGGUAUGCGGAAUGCGCAGUGUAGCGGUGAAAUGCUUAGAUAUUGCGCAGAACUCCGAUUGCGAAGGCAGCAUACCGGCGGCGAUCUGACGCUGAGGCACGAAAGCGUGGGUAUCGAACAGGAUUAGAUACCCCAGUA
Molecule: ribosomal RNA, 464 nt
Filed under: uncultured bacterium
Lineage: Bacteria
Description: bacterial SSU rRNA
Rfam family: Bacterial small subunit ribosomal RNA
Source: RNAcentral